RNAcentral lists this ribosomal RNA (309 nucleotides) under uncultured bacterium. RNAcentral's name for it is "partial 16S ribosomal RNA". It matches the Rfam family "Bacterial small subunit ribosomal RNA", at positions 504 to 807 of the family's 1533-position model. The record is from RNAcentral.
AGAGACAGCAGUAGCCGCGGUAAAACGUAGGGUGCAAGCGUUAAUCGGAAUUACUGGGCGUAAAGCGUGCGCAGGCGGUUUGUUAAGACAGAUGUGAAAUCCCCGGGCUCAACCUGGGAACUGCAUUUGUGACUGGCAAGCUAGAGUAUGGCAGAGGGGGGUGGAAUUCCGCGUGUAGCAGUGAAAUGCGUAGAUAUGCGGAGGAACACCGAUGGCGAAGGCAGCCCCCUGGGCCAAUACUGACGCUCAUGCACGAAAGCGUGGGGAGCAAACAGGAUUAGAUACCCGCGUAGUCCCUGUCUCUUAUAC